Diospyros lotus (date-plum) is the source of this 83-nucleotide small nucleolar RNA. NCBI's taxonomy places the organism in Eukaryota, Viridiplantae, Streptophyta, Magnoliopsida, Ericales, Ebenaceae. The record is from RefSeq and is a predicted model, not a curated record.
UUGCAUGAUGAAAAUCUAGGGAUGUGCAGCUCCAGAUUGAGUAGAGAAUGAUGUAGCAAAAGACCUCCCAGUACUCUUUGGAA